GUUUUUAUGAAAUAAGGAUAUACUUAGUAAAUACCCAACAUAAAUCUUUAAUAAAAAUUGUUGAAUAUCUAUUAAAUAAAGGUUAAAUUUUUUAGAAGAAUAAGAAGUUUUGAAUUUGGAGUAGAUACGAUAGAUUUCUUUCAUCAAAUAAAAGAUUUGCGAACAGUUAAAAAGGAAUAACUUCAUAAAUCAGUCAAGUUUGUAUGUAAUAAAAUGUCAAUGUUGGUAGCUAUUUAUAAUCAAGAAACCAUCAGCAUUGUAGCUAGGGGCUGAUGGCGAGGGUGGCGGUCAAGGAACUACACACAGCUCUGCAUGCUGCGGGUUGCGAAUGCAAGGGGCUCAUUAAAGACUUAUGUACUUAAAUGUUAUGAUGUAAUAUUUUGUUUUUAAAAAAAUAUAUAGUAUAUAAUUUUUUGUAGGUAAAAAAUAUGUCGACUUGGAGUAUUGUCAGAAAUCCCCCAAAGAUGUUUCGUAUAACCAUCGUAAAUGUUAGAGAUAAAAUUCAUUAUAUAUGAUGGGUUAAAAUUUCAAUGUUAUAAAGUUAAAUUGAGGAUAUUAAUAAAAUAAAGACAAAUAAAAUGUA
Anoplophora glabripennis (Asian longhorned beetle) is the source of this 583-nucleotide long non-coding RNA. RefSeq lists it as uncharacterized. The record is from RefSeq and is a predicted model, not a curated record. NCBI's taxonomy places the organism in Eukaryota, Metazoa, Arthropoda, Insecta, Coleoptera, Cerambycidae. The transcript is spliced from 2 exons.